Molecule: ribosomal RNA, 492 nt
Filed under: uncultured bacterium
Lineage: Bacteria
Description: partial 16S ribosomal RNA
Rfam family: Bacterial small subunit ribosomal RNA
Source: RNAcentral
AGUGAACGCUGGCGGUAGGCCUAACACAUGCAAGUCGAACGGCAGCACAGUAAGAGCUUGCUCUUACGGGUGGCGAGUGGCAGACGGGUGAGGAAUACAUCGGAAUCUACUUUUUCGUGGGGGAUAACGUAGGGAAACUUACGCUAAUACCGCAUACGACCUACGGGUGAAAGCAGGGGAUCUUCGGACCUUGCGCGAUUGAAUGAGCCGAUGUCGGAUUAGCUAGUUGGCGGGGUAAAGGCCCACCAAGGCGACGAUCCGUAGCUGGUCUGAGAGGAUGAUCAGCCACACUGGAACUGAGACACGGUCCAGACUCCUACGGGAGGCAGCAGUGGGGAAUAUUGGACAAUGGGCGCAAGCCUGAUCCAGCCAUACUGCGUGGGUGAAGAAGGCCUUCGGGUUGUAAAGCCCUUUUGUUGGGAAAGAAAAGCAGCAGGUUAAUACCCCGCUGUUCUGACGGUACCCAAAGAAUAAGCACCGGCUAACUUCGUG